Molecule: long non-coding RNA, 1041 nt
Filed under: Mytilus galloprovincialis (Mediterranean mussel)
Lineage: Eukaryota; Metazoa; Mollusca; Bivalvia; Mytilida; Mytilidae
Source: RNAcentral
UAAGCGAUAUUAUUAGGUAACGGUACUUUUAUUUUGCAAAACUGAUAAAUAUGAACCGUUUUUGGGGAAGCCUGGUCAAGGUUAAGGACAUAAAUACAUUAUUUUUAUAAGAUAAAGUAGCAAAUGAGUUUAUGUAAUUAUUAUGUAAUCGAACUUCUCAAUAACCAGACCAAUACUAUUUACACAGAAAAAAAACCUAAAACUUCAAAUAUAUUUGUUAUUUAUUUGAUAUAUAUAAAAUAUUUUUGUUUAUUUAGUUUAGUUGUGCACUUGCAUAAGAACCAGAUCGACAAGGAGGUCUUUCUAACGUGUGUUUAUAAGGGGAAGUUUUAUGUUUUUGGUCCAAUCAUUUUUUGGCAAAAUGAAUUAAUGAAAAGAAAAUAAGAAUUCGAAAGAGGAUACUGACUAAUUCCUAGACUAUUAGACUAUACAAUAACUUUUCAGUCUACUUGUACACGUUUUUGUUUCUUGGUUAUCAUUUAUAUUACUAUUUGCAUUAAAGUUCAGCGAAGCUGAUUUUAUUUAGUGAUUAUCCCCUCCAUUAAAAAACAAACCAACAACAACAAAACCAUUUACACCGUCAAAUCAACAUCAACUGUGUUUUUUUAAUUAUUGCAAUUAUGUACGCUGUCAGUAUAUUGUUAUUUUCACCAGUAUAUGUCUGUUGUAUUUUUUUCUGCUUGAUAUCACGUUCUGUUUAUUGUUAUAAGGUGCUAUCUUUUUGUUAACAAUGCAACCCUAAUAAAUAUUUAUGAAAUGUUUGUGAUGUUUGUUCUAAUUAUUACUCCAUAAAAAGUCGGGAGUAUGUGAAAAGAAGGCAAUGCAAUGAAAGAUCAUGAAGCGGAGAAAGACAAAAUAGAAACAUCACUAUGACCAAAAGGUAAACGAAAAAAAUGAUAAACAAGUUUAGAAAAAACCGUCACAGUUACAAAGAAAACUAAAAAUUGAGCAGAAGAAACCUAAACACAAAUACAAAUACAAUAAAAUCAGGGUCGAAUGCAGAAGCAACCUAAACACAAAUACAAAUACAACACAAUCAGG